This 467-nucleotide ribosomal RNA is filed under the name uncultured bacterium. RNAcentral describes it as "bacterial SSU rRNA". It matches the Rfam family "Bacterial small subunit ribosomal RNA", at positions 32 to 507 of the family's 1533-position model. The record is from RNAcentral.
AAUCAACGCUGGCGGCGUGCCUCAGACACGCAAGUCGAACGAUUAAAGCUCUCUUCGGAGAGUGCAUAGAGUGGCGCACGGGUGAGUAACACGUAAGUAAUCUACCUUCGAGUGGGGAAUAACGUCCGGAAACGGGCGCUAAUACCGCAUAAUGCAGCGGCAUCGCAAGAUGACAGUUGUUAAAGGAGCAAUCCGCUUGAAGAGGAGCUUGCGGCAGAUUAGCUAGUUGGUAGGGUAAUGGCCUACCAAGGCUACGAUCUGUAACCGGUCUUAGAGGACGGUCGGUUACACUGACACUGAAUAACGGGUCAGACUCCUACGGGAGGCAGCAGUCGGGAAUUUUGGGCAAUGGGGGAAACCCUGACCCAGCAACGCCGCGUGAAGGAUGAAGUAUUUCGGUAUGUAAACUUCGAAAGAAUAGGAAAAAUUAAUGACGGUACUAUUUAUAAGGUCCGGCUAACUACGUG